Molecule: ribosomal RNA, 494 nt
Filed under: uncultured bacterium
Lineage: Bacteria
Description: partial 16S ribosomal RNA
Rfam family: Bacterial small subunit ribosomal RNA
Source: RNAcentral
GACGAACGCUGGCGGCGCGCUUAACACAUGCAAGUCGAACGGAAAGGCCUGCUUUCCCUUGUGGAUUGCGGGUACUCGAGUGGCGAACGGGUGAGUAACACGUGAGUGAUCUGCCCCCAACUUGGGUAUAAGCCUGGGAAACUGGGUCUAAUUCCCGAUAGGACUGCAGGGUGGUGCCUGUGGUGGAAAACGAUUUUCUAGUGGUUGGGGAUGAGCUCGCGGCCUAUCAGUUUGUUGGUGGGGUAAUGGCCUACCAAGGCGGCGACGGGUAGCCGGCCUGAGAGGGUGGACGGCCACAUUGGGACUGAGAUACGGCCCAGACUCCUACGGGAGGCAGCAGUGGGGAAUAUUGCACAAUGGGCGGAAGCCUGAUGCAGCGACGCCGCGUGGGGGAUGACGGCCUUCGGGUUGUAAACUCCUUUCGACCGCGAGGAAGCCACCUGGUUGGAAGGGUGGUGACGGUAGUGGUAGAAGAAGCACCGGCUAACUACGUG